CGCGCCGGCGGUCAGACGUCGGUAGUGACGUACCGGGUCUUGACCGGGGGUGCGGCCAGUAGCGGCGGCAGGUCGACGAUCUUGCCCUCGCCGGCGCGG
This 99-nucleotide transfer RNA is filed under the name Mycolicibacterium parafortuitum. Its description in RNAcentral is "tRNA-Lys". Lineage: Bacteria; Bacillati; Actinomycetota; Actinomycetes; Mycobacteriales; Mycobacteriaceae. The record is from RNAcentral.